RNA transcript from Mytilus trossulus (common blue mussel), 879 nucleotides. It is a transcript of the gene named DAZ-associated protein 1-like, with no coding region annotated. The record is from RefSeq and is a predicted model, not a curated record. Lineage: Eukaryota; Metazoa; Mollusca; Bivalvia; Mytilida; Mytilidae. The transcript has 5 exons.
GGCGACACUAUCUUAUAUCGGAAAAAUCAAACGGGAUUUACCGAAGCCUUCCGAUUGAUCUUCCGACGCGCACUUGCAAAAAAGAAGAAGGAACGCCAUUUUUUAAACUCAGUCAGAUACCUUUUUAUUCACAAUGGCAGACCGUGGACGGGAUGAUCCAGGCAAAUUUUUUGUUGGAAACCUUAGCUGGGAUACAGACAAUGACAGUUUAUGGAACUACUUCAGUCAUUAUGGGCAGCUGUCAGAUGCUGUUGUUAUCAUGGACAGACAAACCGGAAGGUCAAGAGGUUUUGGUUUUGUGACAUUCAGAGAUCCAAAAUGUGUGGACGAGGUAUUACAUCAAGAGCAACACGAAAUUGAUGGAAGACAGGUGCAAUAAAGGAGUAAAUGCCUGUUGCAGAGGACCGGGCAAGAACAGGGCAUGAGGUGGAAAGCUUUCUUUAUGUAUAAGCUUAACAGCAACACCUCAAUAAGUGUACAGAGUGAUGGAUCAGUGCCAGACCUUGCAAUAGCAGAUAGACUGUUUAUGGAAUUACAGUUAAAAACAAACUUAAAAUCAUGUGUAUUGACACCAAACUUGUGGUGUAUAUAAAUCUCUAUGAUUUGUAACUAUGUGUCAUUUGUUGUCUUGAAAAUUCCAUUUGUUUUUAAAUAUAAAAACUUCUCAUUUUAUACCAUUGCAUUGUGCACUUUGUAACAGUUAGAAUUUUUAUUUAAAAAUGUAAUGAUGAUAAUUAGUGUUUUUAACAUUGGAGCAAAGUUAUUAGUGUAUCCAAUCAAAUGGAUAAAUUAAAUAUUUAGAAAAUCAACAUUAAUUUCAUGUAUUUUAAUUGAUCACUCUCUUCGGAUGAAGUAUAUUAUAUAAAGUCUUUAAAACUA